RNAcentral lists this ribosomal RNA (943 nucleotides) under uncultured bacterium. RNAcentral describes it as "bacterial SSU rRNA". It matches the Rfam family "Bacterial small subunit ribosomal RNA", at positions 28 to 935 of the family's 1533-position model. The record is from RNAcentral.
GACGAACGCUGGCGGCGUGCCUAAUACAUGCAAGUCGAGCGCGGGAAGCAGGCAGACCUUCUUCGGGAGGGACGCCUGUGGAACGAGCGGCGGACGGGUGAGUAACACGUGGGCAACCUACCUGUAAGUCUGGGAUAACCCCGGGAAACCGGGGCUAAUACCGGAUAGGCACCACGUGCGCAUGCAUGUGGUGUGAAAGGCGGGUUUUGGCCUGCCGCUUACAGAUGGGCCUGCGGCGCAUUAGCUAGUUGGUGAGGUAACGGCUCACCAAGGCGACGAUGCGUAGCCGACCUGAGAGGGUGACCGGCCACACUGGGACUGAGACACGGCCCAGACUCCUACGGGAGGCAGCAGUAGGGAAUCUUCCGCAAUGGGCGAAAGCCUGACGGAGCAACGCCGCGUGAGCGAGGAAGGCCUUCGGGUCGUAAAGCUCUGUUGUGAGGGAAGAAAGAGUGCAGGAGUAACUGUCUGCACGUUGACGGUACCUCACGAGGAAGCCCCGGCUAACUACGUGCCAGCAGCCGCGGUAAUACGUAGGGGGCGAGCGUUGUCCGGAAUUAUUGGGCGUAAAGCGCGCGCAGGCGGUCCACUAAGUCUGAUGUGAAAGCCCCCGGCUUAACCGGGGAGGGUCAUUGGAAACUGGUGGACUUGAGUGCAGGAGAGGAGAGUGGAAUUCCACGUGUAGCGGUGAAAUGCGUAGAGAUGUGGAGGAACACCAGUGGCGAAGGCGGCUCUCUGGCCUGUAACUGACGCUGAGGCGCGAAAGCGUGGGGAGCAAACAGGAUUAGAUACCCUGGUAGUCCACGCCGUAAACGAUGAGUGCUAGGUGUUGGGGGGAGCAAUCUCCUCAGUGCUGAAGUUAACACAUUAAGCACUCCGCCUGGGGAGUACGGCCGCAAGGCUGAAACUCAAAGGAAUUGACGGGGGCCCGCACAAGCGGUGG